This 51-nucleotide transfer RNA is filed under the name Pelomys fallax (creek groove-toothed swamp rat). RNAcentral's name for it is "partial tRNA-Val". Lineage: Eukaryota; Metazoa; Chordata; Mammalia; Rodentia; Muridae. The record is from RNAcentral.
UAAAGCAUCUGGCCUACACCCAGAAGAAUUCAUAUUUCAUGAACACUUUGA